This is a long non-coding RNA of Columba livia (rock pigeon), 5170 nucleotides long. RefSeq lists it as uncharacterized. The transcript has 2 exons. Lineage: Eukaryota; Metazoa; Chordata; Aves; Columbiformes; Columbidae. The record is from RefSeq and is a predicted model, not a curated record.
UUUAACCAUUUUGAGAAAAGUGGCGCCGCGUUCCUCGGAAAGCUCCCACGGUCCGAAAGGCGCUGUGUUCAACGCGAAUAUAUAUAUAUGUAUAUAUAUAUAUAUAUAUAUAUUUGUAUGUGUUUUUAUUUAUAUCUAAGAGCAAAACCCGGCUGCGUCAGCGGCGAGGGCUCAAACCCCGAUGCUUCCAAGGGGAGGUUGUUUUUUUAUGUUUUUUCUGUCUCCUUUAGUAAACCAAAAAAAGGGGUGGCGGGGGGGGGAGAGAGAGAUAUUAAUGGCUUAAUCGCUUUUAUGUGGCUUUAAAAGCAUAUUUUAUAAAUGUUUAAUGCCUUCACGCCCGGACCUCCCCGCCGCCGUUCCCGGGCCGGGGGGUUGGCAUGUCAUAAAUCAGGGAAAUGCUAAUAAAAAACCUCGGGCGUGGCGGGGGGGGGUCGCUCCCCUUCCCCCACCCCCCCUGCAGCUCCAGCCCUUCUUCCUCCUCCUUCUCCUCCUCCUCCUCCUCCUCCUCCCCCGGCCGGGAGCCAUCUUGUACAGCAGCUCCGGGCUGGGGCAGCGCUGCUGCAAAACACCAAGCCUCCCCCCUCCUAAAGAAAAAAGCCCCCCAAUAUAUCUAUAUAAAUAUAAAUUUUUAUUAUUAUUAUAAUUUUUCCCUCCGAGGCGCGGUGCUGCGGCUGCCCUGGGGACGGGCACCAUUUUCCCACCAUUUUCCAUAUUAAUACACCCCCCCCUUUUUCUUUUCCCCGAGCGGGGGGACCCCUCUCGCCGCACCGCAGUGGGGGGGUGGGGACCGGGCUGGAGCCGCGAAGCUCCCGGGGAAUUUAGGGGGUGGAGGCCGCUCUUAUAUUUUCUCCGCGAAGCUUUACCGAAAAUACUAAAAAUACCGAUUUCUAUUUGAAAAAAUAUUGCGGGGGGUGGGGGGUGUCCCAGGAACAGCCGCCGUGUGCGUCCCCCCCCUCUCCCGGUGCCGCUGCCCCGGGCUCCCCGCAGGUUCCCACGGUGCCGCCCGCCCCUGGGCCGCCCCCCGCCCGCCCUGCGCGCCCGCUCCGUCUGCCUCUCUCUUCCUUUCCCUUUAUUUUUCUUUAUUUUUCUUUAUUUUCUCUCUUUUUCUCCCGUUUUCCUCUUUUUUUCCCUCAUUUUCCUUUUUAAAACGUUUUUUAUAUUUUCUUUACCCCCUUUUUUUCCCCUCCCGGUGGAGCCGUGCGGAGCUCGCAGCCCCCAGCCCCACACCGGGCAUUUCCCCCCGCGGGGAUACAGGUUGUUGCACUGCAUGUGCUGUCAUUGCAAGUAACUCAACCCCCCCCUGAACCUGCUAGCAGAAAAGAAGACAGGAUGCAAAACCUGUUCCCAAAAAUACCCUGAAGAAGCAAGCAGCAACCUGCCCGCGAGGAAACGGGUCCUGAGGGCUGAAUCCAGCCUGCAGCUGCCAGCGAAAGCACAUGCUGGGUGUCACAGGGAUGGGAAUAGCCCAGUGUGACGAACACGGAGUAAAUCAAAGUCAUUAACGGUCAGGGCCGGAGGGGCUGCCAGCCAUGGCCUCCCCGCAGCCACCAGGCUGGAGGCUCCUAUCCUGCUCCCUUUGGGGUCCCCAUCCCCAGCAUCCCCCUCCAUCACCUCGCAGCCCGGGAUCCGGGACCACCCUACGGAGAAGGUGAACGCUCGGCAGGGGUGAGACCCUCGGGAAAAGGUUGCGGUGGGAGUUUUCCCCGUGCCCAGGAAGCUGCUGGCUCCUCACAUCCCCUGUUGGUGUUUGAUGCACCCACCAAACCAUCCCACCUGCCUGGGGUCCCUGCCGCAGCCUACGCCAGGUACCAAACCGCUGAUGCAAAAGCACACAGGAUGGAUUCAGUGGGGUAAAAUGGGAUGAAACAUCCGCGGUUCCAAGCCCUCGAGCAUCUUGUUAGACCCAGUGUUUCCUCUCACCCUGAACACCAGCCCAAGGAGGGGGUGUCCGUGGUGGCCCCCAGCACUGUCCUCUCGCUUUUCCCAUCACCUCAACCCAGCCCCGAGUGGAGCUGGGGGGGAAGGCGCAGCUGGACAAGACAAGCCCUUUCUGCUCCACAAAGCUCAUCAGCCAGCAGCACUGGGCUUAUAAUUAUUAUUUCUUUAAAGACAAGCUGAGCGGCUAUAGAAAAAAAAAAGCCCCCUCUUGUCGGAGUUGGAAUUUGAUGUCCUAACGACUGUUUUUGUACCAUGCCUGUUAGAGGAAAGAGCUCGGCAGGAGGGGGAAAGAGACAUUUAAUUAUAGAGCUGCAUUGUGAUUUUGCACACAUAGCUGGCUGUUGUAAUCAGGUUACAAGUGUAUCUGAUUUUCUUCCCUCCCCUCCCUCUUCCUCCUCUUUCUUUUCUUUCCUUGUCUUUCCCCCCACACACUCCUUUUUCCUUUCGGUGGCCCAAAUUAGUUGCUUAUGUUUGGGUGUUGCAGAGACAAGCUGUUAUUUGGCUUUGCCCAAGAUCUUGAUGAAGGGAAGAAUGUUUCUGAAGGGCCUCGGCAGCUCUUUGCCAGAGAAAGCUGCUGGUUCCCAGCUCCGGAGAAACCCCCUGGUCGUGUCGAGCAUCCGCAUCCCACCAUCCCGGGGGUCCCCUCCACCUCCCCAAUAAGAGGGGACGCACUUAUACAUCUGCCCCUUCCAUGGUCCCCACCACAUUCCUGCAGAUGCAGGAUUCCCUCAAUAAAUGGAAGCUUUUGAAGAAGAGGAGAAGCCCUAUUUACCUCCAUUGGGGUGGGAGGAGGAAAAUGAAAAGAGGAGAAAAGAGUGUUUUUAAAAGCAACUUUAUAUCUUUCUAUCUGAGGCAACUGAUGCUCUUGGAUUUGGGACUGUUGUUGGGUUCAUUUAGGAAUCUAUUGUUGUCUAUGUGAAUUCUUUUUUACAUUUCAAAUAACAGGAUUAUUUCCACAGGGGGUAAUAUCCUGUAAUUUGAACACAAUAAUGGGAAUAAAUUACUUACUUAGAACUAAUAACGACAGCCUGAUUCCAAUAUAUAUAGGAACUGUAACAGCUUUGGUUAGUUAAAGUGUAAUUGUGUCGACGGAUGACAUUUUCUUUCAAAGGAAUCUGAAUGACUUUUAAUUAAAUUUGCUGGGGGUGGGGAAGAGAAGGAGAGAUACGCUGGGAGAUCUUGGCUGCUGGGGCUGCUGGUGGGUCCCGGCCAUGGCACCCAAACCAGGAAUCACCCCAAACCAGGUAUCACCCCAAACCGGGGAUCACCCCAAACCAAGGAUCACCCCGUGGUUGCAGAAUUUCUGGACCAAGCACAUACAGGGGACAAAGAAACCAUAACUGAGCCCCACAGUAACAUAGAAUCAUUUUGGUUGUAAAAGACCCUCAAGAUCAUCGAGUCUACCCGUUCCCCCACCCCUGGCACUGCCCCAUGUCCCUGAGAACCUCAUCUCUGUCUGUUCAACCCUCCAGGGAUGGUGACUCCAGCACUGCCCUGGGCAGCCUGUUCCAAUGCCCCACAGCCCUUUGGGGAAGAAAUUGUUCCCCAGAUCCAACCUCAACCUCCCCUGGCGCAACUUGAGGCCGUUUCCUCUGCUCCUGGCGCUUGUUCCUGGGGAGCAGAGCCCGACCCCCCUGGCUCCAAGCUCCUUUCAGGCAGUUCAGAGAUCAGAAGGUCUCCCCUCAGCUCCUGUUCUCCAGCUGAACCCCCAGGUCCCUCAGCCGCUCCAUCACACUUGUGCUCCAGCUCCUCACCAGCUCCGUUCCCUUCUCUCAACUCUCUCCAGCACUUUGGUUGUAGAGCGAGGAGCAGGGACAGCUUCUCUCACCCCAGUUUGCCCAGUUUAGCAUCCCUAGGGUGCCACAUGGCCACUGUUCAGAUCACGCUGCUCCAGCCACCACUGGGCCACCCUUGGCCACGAGCAUGGAUGCUGCGUUUUGGCCAUCGCCAUGGGGAUGCUGCGCUGAGAACACCCCAGGGCAUCCACCCUGUCCCCUGUCUCAGCUCUCCAGUGUCACCUCUGCUGCUGCUGCUCCAGGUAGGCAAGAAGGGAUGUGGGAUGGAGAGAGGAAGGGGACAGAGGGAUGGAAGGAUGAAGAACCCCAGCCCAUUUCCCCAGCUUUGCACCUCUCCCCACCGCUGGCUCCACUGUCAACCACUUCUCAGGUUUAUUUUUGAACCAGAAGCACGCGAGGUUCCCUUUGGAAGCCAAAAAAACAGCAGCAUCUUUCAGCGGCGGCACACACAGAAAGCCAAGUUCCUGCCCCAAAAUAUCUGCACGAGGAGCGUUGUGCCGCUGCCAGCCGCUCCAGCCUCCUCCAGGACUCAUUUUCCUCUGUUUAUCUUGAAAAUAUUUCUGCGCUGAGAUCCCACCCCGCGCGGCGGAGCCCUGCGAGGCCGCCUCCAGCCUGACACACGGCCUCUUGUUUAUCCACAGCGAGUUUUACAAAUAGCUUAUUAAUCCCAGAGGUCUGUUUGCCACGGGAAAACCUCGCGGAGCAGCUCCUGCAGCCCCCCCAGCCCCUCGGACACGCAGCGAGCGGCUGCAGACGUCAGCGUUUGCCAGGUUUUGGAGUCGCUCACGGGCACAGCGUGGGGACACCUGGCACUGCUGGCUCUGGUUCAGGUGAUCCUACAGUGGCAGCUGCGGGGGAGCUUGUUUUUUCUUGCAAGACCCCCACCAAGCAAAGGCUGCUGGUUUUGGGGGGUCUGCAGGGGUUUGGGUUGUGGGGAGGACACCUUUCAGGGCUCGCUGGAUUAGUUGUGGUUUGGGAGUUGCUGGAAACAUGCCUGAACGUGCGAGAGAUGAGGACAGUGGGACACGGUGUACAGCGGUCCUGGUGGGACAGUGCCUCAGUUUCCCCACCUGGCCCCAGGGCCCCCAGGAUGGAGCUGGAGGGUUUCAGCCCAGAGAACACAGCAUCAGGGGGCUCGAGCCCAACCAUGGACACUCCCCUGGCCACAGGGUCUGGCAAACCUGUCCCUGCUGCCACCUCUGUCCUCAGCAAGAGGGACAGGAGCCCGGCUGUGACCCCUCCCUGUCCCCACUGCCCAGCGCUGCACUCAGCACCGACCUUGUGGUCCCCCCGAGCAUCCCCUCCCUGAGACCCCCAGAAAGCACCUCUCUGGGAGCACCCACCCCCGCAAACCCCGUAACACAGAAACAUUCAUAACCUGGCCGAUGGGAUUAAAUUACCUGCCCCUGGAAAAAUAAAGGAAGCAUUCAGCCAUU